RNAcentral lists this transfer RNA (72 nucleotides) under Desmophyllum pertusum. RNAcentral's name for it is "Lophelia pertusa tRNA". It matches the Rfam family "tRNA". Rfam says of the family: Transfer RNA (tRNA) molecules are approximately 80 nucleotides in length. The record is from Rfam by way of RNAcentral. Lineage: Eukaryota; Metazoa; Cnidaria; Anthozoa; Scleractinia; Caryophylliidae.
GGCUUCAUAGCUCAGUGGCAGAGCGUUUGCUCCAGAAUCACAAAGUUAUGGGUUUGAAUCCCGUUGGAGCCU